UUACUUCCUUUAGGCUUAAAUUUUUUUCACUAUGGAGAGAUUUCAUUUUAAGUAGGUUUGUUUGAAAGCUAUGAGAAAAUAAUUAUAGUCACCAUGAGAUAGAUUAUUUUAUUGUUCAUGUACUCUGAAAUAGGGCAUUAUAGAGCCACAAAAGUCUGUCUUGUUCUAUAACUAUAUAUUUAUUUACAUUCUAGCAGUUAUAUGAACGUAAUUUGAGCUGGGAAUGCUAAAGGUGUAAUUUAGUGUGUGCCUUGUACCAAGAGCCAAUAUCCUUUUGCUUUUCCCGAUUGUUAUUUGCCGACUGUGUAUGCUGGGGGACUGGUGAAAUGAGAAAUCAAAAGCAGCUUAUAAAUAAGCUGAGUCAUUUUUGCCCGACACCAUAAUCACUGUCCAAAAUUGUGUUUGGAGUCUAAUAAAAUAUCACAUGAUUUUAGGACCCAGCUUCAGAUAAAGACUUCCUGUGAGUUCAGUCAGUAAAAUGACUAUACUAAAAAAUUACUCACAUAUGUUUAUUUUUGGUAAAAUAUUGGAAAAUAAUUGUUACAGAAAAUGGGAACGGCAUCUCACCGUGUACCCCAUUUUGCAAUAUUUUGGAAAGAGUAGUACUCCAUUCACUUAAGGCUUUGGCAACAUAAUUUCUUCAUUGAUUGAUAGUGUACAGGCAUAUCAAUCUCUUGUUUUGGAGGGAAGAAAGAUAUAUACAGGCAGAAUUAUCUAUUUCAUGAAUUGUGAACUAGUUUGAAGUGUGGUCCAAAGGGAUGUUGCCUCAUUAAAGGUCAGAUUUAAUAAAAACUCCAUCUGGUAUGUGUACCAGAAAAACACAGGAGUUGGAUGGAUUUUUUAUUAAAUCAGGCCUUAAACUUGUUAAAUAGUUUUGCAUUUUUAUAAAUUAUAGUCAUGGUUAUAACAUUUCAGUAGCACCAUAAAAGUGCUUGGUUUAGGAAUUUUUUUUUUAAACUGAGAUAGUGUGUAAAUUUCUAGAUGGCUGUAAUAACAUGCAGGCUUUAAGUUACUGAUUUUAUAUAUCAAUAUUUGCAGCUUUCCAAUUAGUUGUGAUUUAUAAUUUAAUGUUUUACUUUUGGAAAAUAAGUGACAUUUAGAAAAUUAAAUAUUACUAUGAGGCUGUAUUGUGGUUUCCUACCCUCCCUCACCUUUCCAUCCCCUCCCACUUCCCUACUCCCGCUGCCCCACACCCUCUUAAUGCACAAGGCAUUAACAUAUGCUCCAGGUUACUUUUUUGGUAUUAAAUUCGGUGUUAGUCAGCAGAAUAAUCAUUUUCUGCACAAUUAUAGUAACUUAGGUCAAGUGUAGUUUUAUAUAGUGGUAGGUCUGAAUCCAUUUUCUUUAACUGUGUUGUUGUUGUAGGAAUUUGCUCGCCCUGAUACAUCGAAUGAUAGAGUUUGUUGUACGUGAAGGGCCAAUGUUUGAAGCUAUGAUUAUGAACAGAGAAAUCAACAAUCCUAUGUUCAGGUUCUUAUUUGAAAACCAGACACCAGCCCAUGUUUACUAUAGGUGGAAGCUUUAUUCUAUUCUGCAGGCAAGUAGAAUCAAUUACUUUGUUAAUUUUGACUCUGAGUAAUUAGACCUUUAUAAUAACUCUAAAUGUUUGUUAGGGAGAUUCUCCAACUAAAUGGCGGACGGAAGAUUUUCGUAUGUUCAAAAAUGGAUCUUUUUGGAGGCCACCACCAUUAAAUCCGUACUUGCAUGGAAUGUCAGAAGAGCAAGAAACAGAAGCUUUUGUAGAGGAACCUAGUAAAAAGGGAGCACUUAAGGAAGAACAGAGGGAUAAAUUGGAAGAAAUCUUGCGGGGAUUAACUCCAAGGAAAAAUGAUAUUGGAGAUGCAAUGGUUUUCUGUCUUAAUAAUGCUGAAGCUGCUGAAGAAAUAGUGGAUUGCAUUACUGAGUCGUUGUCCAUCUUAAAGACACCCCUUCCUAAAAAGAUUGCCAGAUUGUAUUUGGUUUCUGAUGUUUUGUACAACUCUUCAGCCAAAGUUGCUAAUGCUUCAUAUUAUAGAAAAUUUUUUGAGACAAAGUUAUGUCAGAUAUUUUCAGACCUCAAUGCCACCUAUCGUACAAUUCAAGGCCAUUUACAGUCUGAAAACUUUAAGCAACGGGUAAUGACUUGCUUCAGAGCAUGGGAAGAUUGGGCAAUUUAUCCAGAACCAUUUUUGAUCAAACUACAAAAUAUUUUCUUAGGACUUGUAAAUAUUAUUGAAGAAAAGGAAACAGAGGAUGUUCCAGAUGACCUUGAUGGUGCCCCCAUCGAGGAAGAGCUUGAUGGUGCACCUCUGGAAGAUGUAGAUGGAAUUCCUAUUGAUGCUACUCCCAUCGAUGAUCUUGAUGGAGUCCCUAUAAAAAGUCUUGAUGAUGAUCUUGAUGGAGUGCCUUUGGAUGCAACUGAAGACUCAAAGAAGAAUGAGCCUAUAUUUAAAGUUGCCCCAUCAAAAUGGGAAGCUGUGGAUGAAUCUGAAUUGGAAGCACAGGCUGUUACAACUUCUAAAUGGGAAUUAUUUGACCAGCAUGAAGAAUCAGAAGAAGAAGAAAAUCAAAAUCAAGAAGAAGAAAGUGAAGAUGAAGAAGAUACUCAAAGUUCCAAAUCUGAAGAGCAUCAUUUGUACUCUAAUCCAAUCAAAGAAGAAAUGACUGAGUCUAAAUUCUCUAAGUACUCUGAAAUGAGUGAGGAAAAACGAGCCAAACUUCGUGAAAUUGAGCUCAAAGUUAUGAAGUUUCAGGAUGAAUUGGAAUCUGGGAAAAGACCUAAAAAACCAGGCCAGAGUUUUCAGGAGCAAGUAGAACACUACAGAGAUAAACUUCUUCAACGAGAGAAAGAGAAAGAGUUAGAAAGAGAACGAGAAAGAGACAAGAAAGAUAAAGAAAAAUUGGAAUCUCGCUCCAAAGACAAGAAGGAAAAAGAUGAGUGUACUCCGAC
Molecule: small RNA, 2929 nt
Filed under: Pongo abelii (Sumatran orangutan)
Lineage: Eukaryota; Metazoa; Chordata; Mammalia; Primates; Hominidae
Description: retained intron
Source: RNAcentral